This 120-nucleotide ribosomal RNA is filed under the name Bison bison bison. The record is from RNAcentral. Lineage: Eukaryota; Metazoa; Chordata; Mammalia; Artiodactyla; Bovidae.
GUCUCAGGCCGUAUCAGCCUGAAGGCGCCUGAUCUCGUCUGAUCUCGGAAGCUAAGGCAGGGUCGGGCCUGGUUGUAUCUUGGAUGGGAGACCACCUGGGAAUCCCGGGUGCUCGAGGCU